UACAGAGGGUGCGAGCGUUGUCCGGAAUCACUGGGCGUAAAGGGCGCGUAGGCGGCUCAGUAAGGUUGCGGUGAAAGCCCGGGGCUCAACCCCGGGUCGGCCGUGGCAACUGCUGGGCUGGAGCACUGUAGAGGCAGGUGGAAUUCCUGGUGUAGCGGUGAAAUGCGCAGAUAUCAGGAAGAACACCCGUGGCUAAGGCGGCUCUCUAGUACGGUACUGACGCUGAGACGCGAAAGCGUGGGGAGCGAACAGG
RNAcentral lists this ribosomal RNA (253 nucleotides) under uncultured bacterium. RNAcentral describes it as "partial 16S ribosomal RNA". It matches the Rfam family "Bacterial small subunit ribosomal RNA", at positions 524 to 776 of the family's 1533-position model. The record is from RNAcentral.